GUGAUAGUACAAGGGUGUACUAUUCCCCUCCUCUCCUUCCUUUUGGGGAAUACGGCUUGCACAGUAACACAUCUGUGCAUAAAAAGAGUACUUUGGUGGUUUGGAGAUGAAGGAGAUGAUGUAGAGACAGAGGGGAAGAAGGUGGGCUUGAGAUUGAAGCGCGAAAACACAGUAAAAACAAGGUAAAAGUAAAUGGAGACAAGAGGAAGACGGGGACGAGGUAGUGCAUGGAUGGAACUAUUAACAGAAGAAUGUUAAGCUGUUUUUGCUCUACCCAUGCACUGCCUCUUCCCUGGCUCUGUCUCUCCUUUACUCCUCCCUUUUUCUUUUUCUUUUAUUGAUCUCUGUGUAUUAAAUUAUUAAUCAUACUCUGCUUUUAGAUUUUGGAACUUCCAUGAAAUUGAAAUGUAUUCAAAGUUCAAAUCCCUUCUUCUCUACACAUGUAGAAUAGAAGGUUUGGUUAGUAAUUUUAGGAGUCCAGACAAAAUUGCCUCCCACAAGUAUUGU
RNAcentral lists this precursor RNA (507 nucleotides) under Vitis vinifera (wine grape). RNAcentral describes it as "microRNA MIR408". The stretch from base 191 to 315 matches the Rfam family "MIR408 microRNA precursor family". The record is from RNAcentral. Lineage: Eukaryota; Viridiplantae; Streptophyta; Magnoliopsida; Vitales; Vitaceae.